This 254-nucleotide ribosomal RNA is filed under the name uncultured bacterium. RNAcentral describes it as "partial 16S ribosomal RNA". It matches the Rfam family "Bacterial small subunit ribosomal RNA", at positions 524 to 776 of the family's 1533-position model. The record is from RNAcentral.
GACGAACCGUGCGAACGUUAUUCGGAAUCACUGGGCUUAAAGCGCGUGUAGGCGGAUGGGAACGUCGGUAGUUGAAAGCCCCCGGCUCAACCGGGGAAGUGGUGCCGAAACGACCCGUCUGGAGGGACGUAGGGGGACCUGGAACUUCCGGUGGAGCGGUGAAAUGCGUUGAGAUCGGAAGGAACGCCCGUGGCGAAAGCGAGGUCCUGGACGGCUACUGACGCUGAGACGCGAAAGCUAGGGGAGCAAACGGG